RNAcentral lists this ribosomal RNA (330 nucleotides) under uncultured Trebouxia photobiont. Its description in RNAcentral is "5.8S ribosomal RNA". The stretch from base 62 to 215 matches the Rfam family "5.8S ribosomal RNA". The record is from RNAcentral. Lineage: Eukaryota; Viridiplantae; Chlorophyta; Trebouxiophyceae; Trebouxiales; Trebouxiaceae.
UCAANUCUNAAGNCAGAUCUAUUGGCUAGCAUUGCUGGCUGUAGACUGAACAAAUACAGACAACUCUCAACAACGGAUAUCUUGGCUCCCGUAACGAUGAAGAACGCAGCGAAAUGCGAUACGUAGUGUGAAUUGCAGAAUUCCGUGAACCAUCGAAUCUUUGAACGCAAAUUGCGCUCGAGGCUUCGGCCAAGAGCAUGUCUGCCUCAGCGUCGGCUACUACCCUCAACUAAGUUUCCUANGACAGACUAGGGGAUGCCAGUUGGAUAUGGCCGUCCGGUUUGCCUUUCNGGNUGCCGGUCAGCUGAAAUAUAUUCACGCUCUGGGGGC